GCCUGGCUAGCUCAGUCAGUAGAGCAUGAGACUCUUACUCUCAGGGUCGUGGGUUCAAGCCCCACAUUGGGCG
This 73-nucleotide transfer RNA is filed under the name Callipepla squamata (scaled quail). It matches the Rfam family "tRNA". From Rfam's summary of the family: Transfer RNA (tRNA) molecules are approximately 80 nucleotides in length. Their secondary structure includes four short double-helical elements and three loops (D, anti-codon, and T loops). The record is from Rfam by way of RNAcentral. Lineage: Eukaryota; Metazoa; Chordata; Aves; Galliformes; Odontophoridae.